UGGAGCGUGUGGUUUAAUUCGAUGCUACACGAAGAACCUUACCAGGGUUUGACAUGCAGGUGGUAGUGAAGCGAAAGCGGAACGACUCUUCGGAGAGCCUGCACAGGUGCUGCAUGGCUGUCGUCAGCUCGUGUCGUGAGAUGUUCGGUUAAGUCCGCUAACGAGCGCAACCCCUGCCGUGUGUUACAAGUGUCACACGGGACUGCCGGUCUUAAGCCGGAGGAAGGUGGGUAUGACGUCAAGUCAGCAUGGCC
RNAcentral lists this ribosomal RNA (254 nucleotides) under uncultured bacterium. Its description in RNAcentral is "partial 16S ribosomal RNA". It matches the Rfam family "Bacterial small subunit ribosomal RNA", at positions 933 to 1200 of the family's 1533-position model. The record is from RNAcentral.